GGACAAGCAGUUCUGGAAAAAUCAGUAGCCGGUAGCUGGAACCCACUGAUUCUGUGAGAAGCCAUUGCCACCAAGAGAAAUACACCAUUUCAUGGAGCAGAAUUGGAAGUCACAAGCUGCUUUGCUAGAAAAUGGAGCAGCACAGGCCACAGCAGUGCAUCUGGAGGAAACAGGCCCACGUAGAAGCUUCUAGUCCUGGCUGCUGGAUGCAGGGCUAAAUCUUGGAUCAAAAAAUAUGAAAAAAAUUGUCAUAACUGAGCAACUGAGCAGAUUCCAUCGACCUCACCAAGGAACAGGAGGAGCUGCUCGAGGAGUUAGUUCAUCACAUACUGUGGGACAACUGCCCUCUGCUUUUCAGACCCAUGUCCUGGAACAGAUUUUCAGGCUUGUGCUUGCUGUUGAGCCUGUUAUUCUGGAGAAGAUUUUCUUCUUCUUCUUCUUUUUCUUCUUUUUUUUAAAACUAGUUGCAAGAAAUAUUUAUGAUGCUUGGAUAAUUCUGCAGAGGACAUGUAUACAGCUGCUGUGGUUGUCAUAAGCCUCCCAUACUCCUACCUGACUGUGUGGAGAAAGGUGAGAAAGACGGUGAAUUGUAGGCAAUGAUUGCAGGGUGACUUGAC
This 617-nucleotide long non-coding RNA is filed under the name Struthio camelus australis. RNAcentral describes it as "lncRNA (ENSSCUG00000018184.1)". The record is from RNAcentral. Lineage: Eukaryota; Metazoa; Chordata; Aves; Struthioniformes; Struthionidae.